Molecule: small nuclear RNA, 107 nt
Filed under: Urocitellus parryii (Arctic ground squirrel)
Lineage: Eukaryota; Metazoa; Chordata; Mammalia; Rodentia; Sciuridae
Source: RNAcentral
GUGAUCACUUCAGCAGCACAUAUACUAAAAUUGGAACUAUAGAGAGAAGAUUAGCAUGGCCCUUGCGCAAGGAUGACACACAAAUUCAUGAAGCAUUCCAUAUUCAG